RNAcentral lists this ribosomal RNA (254 nucleotides) under uncultured bacterium. RNAcentral describes it as "partial 16S ribosomal RNA". It matches the Rfam family "Bacterial small subunit ribosomal RNA", at positions 524 to 777 of the family's 1533-position model. The record is from RNAcentral.
UACGGGGGGGCAAGCGUUGUCCGGAAUCAUUGGGCGUAAAGGGCGCGUAGGUGGCCCGGUCAGUUCGUGGUGAAAGCGCGGGGCUCAACCCUGCGUCGGCCAUGAAUACUGCCGCGGCUGGAGCACUGUAGAGGCAGGCGGAAUUCCGGGUGUAGCGGUGGAAUGCGUAGAGAUCCGGAAGAACACCGGUGGCGAAGGCGGCCUGCUGGGCAGUUGCUGACACUGAGGCGCGACAGCGUGGGGAGCAAACAGGG